This 253-nucleotide ribosomal RNA is filed under the name uncultured bacterium. RNAcentral describes it as "partial 16S ribosomal RNA". It matches the Rfam family "Bacterial small subunit ribosomal RNA", at positions 524 to 776 of the family's 1533-position model. The record is from RNAcentral.
UACGUAGGGGGCAAGCGUUGUCCGGAUUUAUUGGGCGUAAAGAGCGUGUAGGCGGCCAGACAGGUCCGUUGUGAAAACUGGAGGCUCAACCUCCAGACGUCGAUGGAAACCGUCUGGCUAGAGUCCGGAAGAGGAGAGUGGAAUUCCUGGUGUAGCGGCGAAAUGCGCAGAUAUCAGGAAGAACACCCGUGGCGAAAGCGGCUCUCUGGGACGGUACUGACGCUGAGACGCGAAAGCGUGGGGAGCGAACAGG